CAUAAUGCAGCUCCCACUCUCCACUAGUGCAUUCAUCAUGCACAGCCAACUCCUUGCCCAGAUAUCAUCAAUAACAGAAUGAAAGACUGUGGGAAAGAAGCAUGGCUGCUGCAACGGGCACACUGUGUAUCUGAAGGGAUGCACCCUUGGAAAACUGUGUUGCAGUGCAUAUGGUGCCAGGGCCCAGGUGGGAUGAGCUGGGAUUGCUAGCAAGCCUCAUCUCUCUUAUACAAGGAACCAGGGAUGUGAGCAGAUCCACACCUCAGGUCAAGGUGCUGGAGCAGAGUCCAGCCAUGAUGUCAUCCCAGCUCCACAAGAGGUCUGAAGGCCCAGCAUCUCUCCUCCACCUGCAACCCAGCAGCAAGAAGUAGAUGGGAAGAGUGUGCAAGAUUUCUGAGGGAUACCUGAAUUCCCUUCAGUCUACUGCUGCUCCCACCCGUCUCUCUGCUAAUACACAGCAGUUACUUUCCACACAGUUCACUUGCCUAAUUUCCUAUCUGCAGUGGGAGCAGGAGUGGUAGGAGGUUCAAAUAAUUGUUUUUACAGGACCUGGUUUGCACAGAGCCUUUUGAAGGUCACACUGAUUAUUUCCUCUGGAGCAAGCAAAGUACCAUGUAAUUAUUGCAAAUGCCACCUGGUGAAAAAUCGCUCCUAGUCAAUCACCUUAGCACGGGGACAACUGCUGUAGCCCUUCGCUGCCACAGCAAAUCAAGCAGAAGCAAUGAUGGGUCUCGCAUGUCUCCCAUCUGGACUCUUGUAUUCCUCCAAAUACAGUAAAAUGGUGAAAUGAUUUCCUGAGAGGCCAGCAGAAGAGCAUCCAGCUCAGCAGGGUAUGCGGAGCAGAUGACACAGUGCUGAGACACAAAAUUCAUCCUUGUCGGGAAUGUCAGGUAUAGAAAUCGGACCCAUCCCACCAAGCAGCCCUGGCUUAAUGGCUUUUCUUGUAGAUCUCUGCUUCCAUUUAAUGAAAAUCUGUGAUGCUUACACUUUGAGGUGAGUUCUUUCAGUGUUGAGGAGGCCCCCGCACAGGGCCCAGCAGAAGGGUGGAAUGGCGGCCCAGCCACACCGGGUGCUGAGAGCACUGGCUCUCGUACGGCACAGUGUGUGCAGGGCCGGGGCGUGAAGGGCAAAGUGUCUGGAAAGAGACACGAGGAACAACACGUUUGGUUUGUAAACCUUGGUUUGUAGCUUUUAUUACAAAGCUUGGUUUGUAGCUUUUAUUGUGAGCCCCGCUCGGGGCGCCUCUUGCAGGGCCGAGCAGCGCGCUGGGCACUGCCGGCCCUCCUCUUGUGGGGCGUCGGGACCCCCCAGCGAGCGAUUCGUGCCUCGGCCGCGAGCGGAGGAGCCGCGGCUGCAGCCCUGGGCGGCGGG
This is a long non-coding RNA of Coturnix japonica (Japanese quail), 1371 nucleotides long. The record is from Ensembl. NCBI's taxonomy places the organism in Eukaryota, Metazoa, Chordata, Aves, Galliformes, Phasianidae.